This is a long non-coding RNA of Eriocheir sinensis (Chinese mitten crab), 1604 nucleotides long. RefSeq lists it as uncharacterized. NCBI's taxonomy places the organism in Eukaryota, Metazoa, Arthropoda, Malacostraca, Decapoda, Varunidae. The record is from RefSeq and is a predicted model, not a curated record. The transcript has 4 exons.
AACAACCACAUGUAACUUACCAAACACUUGUCUAUGUAACUGUACUUCCUCUCUCAUUCCCUCUUAUAGUACAAUCCAAAACUUGCAUAAAUAACCCACCAUGAGUCGAGAAUACCUAUCAGUCAUUGCCGCUGGGUGAGGGAUGGUUUUUCAAGACUUAAAAUAACCAAGAAAUAGCUGCCUGGAACUCACACAAAAACCAAUACUCUCAUUUAUACUUCUCAUUCUCUCUUAUAACAAAAUCUAAAACAUACAUAAAUAACCCAGCAUGAGUCGAGAAUAUCCAUCAGUCACUGCCGCAGAAAAUAACAGGGUAUGGGAUGGGUCUUGAAGGUCACCCAGUCAGUCAGUGUGGCCAGCAGAUGUCAGGUUCCCAAGGGGUGUAAUUUGGCCCGACAUGCUAAGUGGAGACAUUCAGAAUUCACGGGGAAGUUGGGAGGAAUAUUAGGUGUUGACGGGAUGGUGGCGUGAGUGUUGUGUUGUGUUUUGAGUCAUUUUUCUGAGGUUUGUUGUUAAAGAAGGGAUGUUAGGGAUGUAUUUAGGCAUAGAAUAGGUGUUAAUAGUUUGAGGAAUGGAAGGAAUGGAUAAAAUUUGAAGGGAUGUUGUUAGUUGUGUUGUGUUUUGAAGCAUUUUUCUGAGGUUUGUUGUUAAAGAAGGGAUGUUAUGGGUGUAUUUAGGCAUAGAAUAGGUGUUAAUAGUUUGAGGAAUGGAAGGAAUGGAUAAAAUUUGAAGGGAUGGUGUUAGUAGUGUUGUGUUUUGAGUCAUUUUUCUGAGGUUUGUUGUUAAAGAAGGGAUGUUAUGGAUGUAUUUAGGCAUAGAAUAGGUGUUGAUAGUUUGAGGAAUGGAAGGAAUGGCGAAAAUUUGAAGGAUGUUGUUAGUAGUGUUGUGUUCUGAGUCAUUUUUCUGAGGAUUGUUGUUAAAGAAGGGAUGUUAUGGGUGUAUUUAGGCAUAGAAUAGGUGUUAAUAGUUUGAGGAAUGGAAGGAAUGGCUAAAAUUUGAAGGAUGUUGUUAGUAGUGUUGUGUUUUGAGGCAUUUUUCUGAGGUUUGUUGUUAAAGAAGGGAUGUUAUGGGUGUAUUAAGGCAAAGAAUAGGUGUUAAUAGUUUGAGGAAUGAAAGGAAUGGCUAAUAUUUGGAGGGAUGGUGGCAUGAGUGUUGUGUUCUGAGGCAUUUUUCUGAGGUUAUCAUAAAAAAACACUACCAUUCCAUCUUCUAAUCCACACAGUAAAAUAUUAAACCCACAUCUCAAGACAUUAUUCAAGGGAGCAUUAGUUAUUGAUGUGCCCGAACAAGCUGUGGAAGAAUAUUAGAGUCACUCAUUCAUAGGUUAUCAUAAAAAAACACUACCAUUCCAUCUUCUAAUCCAGGCAGUAAAAUAUUAAACCCACAUCUCAAGACAUUAUUCAAGGGAGCAUUAACUAUUGAUAUGCCUGAACAAGCUGUGGAAGAAUAUUAGAGUCGCUCAUUCAUAGGUUAUCAUAAAAAAACACUACCAUUCCAUCUUCUAAUCCACACAGUAAAAUAUUAAACCCACAUCUCAAGACAUUAUUCAAGGGAGCAUUAGUUAUUGAUGUGCCCGAACAAGCUGUCAGAGAAUAUUAGAGUCG